This 1687-nucleotide unclassified non-coding RNA is filed under the name Hevea brasiliensis (rubber tree). The record is from RNAcentral. Lineage: Eukaryota; Viridiplantae; Streptophyta; Magnoliopsida; Malpighiales; Euphorbiaceae.
GGACAACAAGAAACACAUUCAUGAGCUGAACAUCAUUUCUUUUCUCUGAAUUUUCCAUUUACAAACUGCCUCAUAUAGAGUACUAACAUAAACUUUUUGAAUACCAAUCCUUUUUACCUAACAACUUUAACUAGAUCAUUUAUACAGCAAAGGAAUCAGCCUAAACAAUAGUUUCCAUGAAAAAUCUCAUAGCUUCCUUCAACACGUUUUAACAGGAAAAGUAACUUACAAACACUUGGGUCAGACAGUUUAGCUAAGAGGAGGCAAAUGCCCAUGAGAAGACACAGCAUUGAAGAUCAGGUAUCGAUGAUCAUACUGUCAACUUGCUUUGCACUUCCAGUUUUUGGUAUGUGUGCCAUUUCUUAUAUCUCUGAUUCCCUGGCAAAACAGGCCUAAGCCGAGGAGCAGUUUUGCAUUUCAGACAGCAACAUCCUCUUAAAUCCUUCACACAGUUCAUACAGCACAGAAAAAGCAAGUUGCAAUCAAGAUUAGCACAGUUUCGAUGCCUCAACUCAUGGACAUGUGAUCCACAGAUAAAACAGUUAGCAAAUGAAUAGUUCUUUGGUCCUUGCUGAGGUUUGCCCACUAUUGCUGUAGCCUUAGAAUCAGUAUCAGGCUUAUAAGCAGAAGGUGGAAGAGAGAGACGGUCAUCAAACACAAACAAAUUUCCAAUCCAUUCUCUAGGGCCUUCUUCGUUGAGAUAAUGAGAAACCCCUCCCAUCAAGGUGUACAAAUUCUUAAAACCUUGUUCCCUUAGGAUGGUAGAAUAUACAUCACAACGAAUGCCUCCUGUGCAAUACAUAAAUAUAUUUGUGGUAUUUUUAUCAGCAUUUGCUAAAGGAUCUGAAGCAACGACCUCCCUAUUGGAUAGUCCACAAGAAGUGCUCCUGAAGCAAUCUGUAUCAGGUCGCUGGGCCCCAACGAAAUGACCAAUGUCCCACUCAUAGCCAUUUCUUACAUCCAAUAGAACAUAAUUUGAACCAAUGGCUGAAUUUGACAUCCCAACAAUUUCAUGUACUGCUUCUAAUCUUUUUCUCCACUCAAAUGGUGUUAGAGGCGUUGCUCUCAUAGAAGGAUUCAACAAAGGAAGAUGUGAAAUGCUUCCUUCCAACUGAACCAAUGAGGGUUUGUAGCGCAGCUUUAAUUUUGGGAAGGCAUGCUCAUUGUUUGCUGGAGACACUUGAACCAGUACAUCAGAAAAUCUGAAAUCUUCUCUUAACCAUUCAACAUAUGCAAGAGCAUCUUUUGAUGGUCCACUGAACUGGGCAUUAAUCCCUUGUUCAUUCAGAUAUAUUCGACCAUGGAUGUCAAGACCCUUCAAGAAAGAGAGAUGCUUGGCAACUUCUGCAUGAGGAUUUUCGAUAAACACAAACCGGUAAAAAUUCACAACCACGAAAUCAUCUGAAGGCACUGCCACACUGAAAUUCGAAAAAAUUGCGAAAUUUCGAUUCCUCUUCUUCUUCUUCAGCUCUGCUUGAUUAUAUUUUGAGCGGCUAGGAGAAGUUAGAGUAAAAUAGACUUUGGAAUCGAAAGAAGAGUUGUUAGCAAGAGAAAUCCUAUAUCUGCUAGUAAUGGUAGCGGAGAAAGGAGCCGAGAGAUGGGCACAGCAAACCAUCAUCCUCUCCCGGUACCACCCAGUCCCAGUAACUGCAUCCUCUAUGCAGAAUAUAAAAUAGCCUGUUGGAAA